UGUAAAUUGUGUAUAAGCUUGAGUAGUAUGAGUUAUGUUCUUUAAACUUAAAGAAUUUGGCGGUGUUUUAGUCUUUUCAGAGGAACCUGUCCCAUAAUCGAUAAUCCACGUAGUAUCUUACUUAACUUUGUUUUCAACUUGUAUACCGCCGUCGUCAGAAUGUCUUUGGAGAGAUUUAAUUUUCUAAAAUUUUUAUUAAAAAUGAUGUCAGGUCAAGGUGCAGUUUAUGGUUAAGUGGAGAUGGGUUACAAUGAAUUUAUUUAUACGGAUUAAUUGGUUGAAAUCUAUUAUGAAGGUGGAUUUGAUAGUAAUUUUAUUUAUAAAGUUAAUUUGAUUUUAGCUCUAAA
This 347-nucleotide ribosomal RNA is filed under the name Leuctra fusca. Its description in RNAcentral is "partial 12S ribosomal RNA". Lineage: Eukaryota; Metazoa; Arthropoda; Insecta; Plecoptera; Leuctridae. The record is from RNAcentral.